AGUGAACGCUGGCGGCAGGCCUAACACAUGCAAGUCGAGCGGCAGCGCGGGGCAACCUGGCGGCGAGCGGCGGACGGGUGAGGAAUGCAUCGGAAUCUACCCUGUCGUGGGGGGAUAACGUAGGGAAACUUACGCUAAUACCGCAUACGACCGAGAGGUGAAAGUGGGGGACCUUCGGGCCUCACGCGAUUGGAUGAGCCGAUGCCGGAUUAGCUAGUUGGUAGGGUAAAGGCCUACCAAGGCGACGAUCCGUAGCUGGUCUGAGAGGAUGAUCAGCCACAUUGGGACUGAGACACGGCCCAAACUCCUACGGGAGGCAGCAGUGGGGAAUAUUGGACAAUGGGCGCAAGCCUGAUCCAGCCAUGCCGCGUGUGUGAAGAAGGCCUUCGGGUUGUAAGACACUUUGUUCGGGUAAGAAAGUACGUGCGAAUUAAUAACUUUG
Molecule: ribosomal RNA, 442 nt
Filed under: uncultured bacterium
Lineage: Bacteria
Description: bacterial SSU rRNA
Rfam family: Bacterial small subunit ribosomal RNA
Source: RNAcentral